CUGAUCCUGGCAUUCUUUUCUUCUGUUUCUGUCUCUAUUAUCCUGGGUGAGACUGAUUCAAUCAGCUGAAAGACCUCAGGAGCGGAACUGAGGCUUCCCUGAGAAAACAUAAAUUCUGCCUAUGGACAGCAAUUUCAGUUCACCCCUAAAAUCCCACCCUCCUCUUUCUGAUGGCCUGUGCUGUGGACUUCCGAUGUGCCUUGCCAGCGCCCACAAUCAUGUGCAGCAAGUUGCCUUUUUAAAAUGUGCACUUUGGCCGGGUGUGGCAGCUCACUCUUGUAAUCCUAGCACUUCGGGAGGCCGAAGUGGGAGAACUGCUUGAGGCCAGGAGUUCGAGACCAGCCUGGGCAACAUCGUGAGACCACAUCUGUACAACAAAUAAAAUUUAAAAAAAUAUUAGCCAGGCAUGGUGGUGCAUGCCUAUAGUCCCAGCUACUUGGGAGGCUGAGGCGGGAGGAUCACUUGAGUUCAGGAGGUUGAAGCUUCAGUGAGCUGUGAUCAUGCCAAUGCAUUCCAGCCUGGGCAACAUACAAGAUCCUGUCUCAGAAAAACAAAUACAACAUACACCUUCUCCUCUGUUGUCUCUGUCAUAGGAACUAACCGUGCUGUACUCUGUGCUGGUUAUGGGUCUCACUCUUUAUUUCCUUUCCCUCCAGCCAUGCAAAGCCUUUUGUGCUAUUCUGUCCAAGUUGCAGUCAGCAACUUUAGUGCACAGGUGAUAAAAUUACAUCAUAUUUCAGGUA
Molecule: long non-coding RNA, 743 nt
Filed under: Homo sapiens (human)
Lineage: Eukaryota; Metazoa; Chordata; Mammalia; Primates; Hominidae
Description: HSALNT0082428
Source: RNAcentral